CCUACGGGGGGCAGCAGUGGGGAAUAUUGGACAAUGGGGGGAACCCUGAUCCAGCCAUGCCGCGUGUGUGAAGAAGGCCCUCGGGUUGUAAAGCACUUUCAGUGAGGAAGAACGCCUGGUGGUUAAUACCCAUCAGGAAAGACAUCACUCACAGAAGAAGCACCGGCUAACUCCGUGCCAGCAGCCGCGGUAAUACGGAGGGUGCGAGCGUUAAUCGGAAUUACUGGGCGUAAAGCGCGCGUAGGUGGCUUGAUAAGCCGGUUGUGAAAGCCCCGGGCUCAACCUGGGAACGGCAUCCGGAACUGUCAAGCUAGAGUGCAGGAGAGGAAGGUAGAAUUCCCGGUGUAGCGGUGAAAUGCGUAGAGAUCGGGAGGAAUACCAGUGGCGAAGGCGGCCUUCUGGACUGACACUGACACCGAGGUGCGAAAGCGUGGGUAGCAAACAGGAUUAGAUACCCGAGUAGUC
This 465-nucleotide ribosomal RNA is filed under the name Vreelandella stevensii. RNAcentral's name for it is "partial 16S ribosomal RNA". It matches the Rfam family "Bacterial small subunit ribosomal RNA", at positions 338 to 795 of the family's 1533-position model. The record is from RNAcentral. Lineage: Bacteria; Pseudomonadati; Pseudomonadota; Gammaproteobacteria; Oceanospirillales; Halomonadaceae.